This 232-nucleotide long non-coding RNA is filed under the name Elaeis guineensis (African oil palm). RNAcentral's name for it is "long non-coding RNA (EGUI_LNC019762)". Lineage: Eukaryota; Viridiplantae; Streptophyta; Magnoliopsida; Arecales; Arecaceae. The record is from RNAcentral.
AUGAGAGAAAAUAAAAUAUUAAAUCCGUGAGAAAAAUCCAAGAAGAUGAUAAGAAUCCGGAUCGUGAUAGUUAAGAAACUACUUUGAUUAGGGCUCUUAAUCUUUUAACCAAAUAGAUCCAUCGAUAAAGAACUAUGUCUUUACCAAUAUCGGAUUAAAAAAAAAUCAAAGAUCAACUGUUAAGAAAUGAAGGUCCUUGACAGCAUAUGAUCUGUAGAAUAAGAAAUCACUC